GAUGAACGCUGGCGGCGUGCCUAAUACAUGCAAGUCGAGCGAACAGACGAGGAGCUUGCUCCUCUGACGUUAGCGGCGGACGGGUGAGUAACACGUGGAUAACCUACCUAUAAGACUGGGAUAACUUCGGGAAACCGGAGCUAAUACCGGAUAAUAUAUUGAACCGCAUGGUUCAAUAGUGAAAGACGGUUUUGCUGUCACUUAUAGAUGGAUCCGCGCCGCAUUAGCUAGUUGGUAAGGUAACGGCUUACCAAGGCAACGAUGCAUAGCCGACCUGAGAGGGUGAUCGGCCACACUGGAACUGAGACACGGUCCAGACUCCUACGGGAGGCAGCAGUAGGGAAUCUUCCGCAAUGGGCGAAAGCCUGACGGAGCAACGCCGCGUGAGUGAUGAAGGUCUUCGGAUCGUAAAACUCUGUUAUUAGGGAAGAACAAAUGUGCAAGUAACUAUGCACGUCUUGACGGUACCUAAUCAGAAAGCCACGGCUAACUACGUG
RNAcentral lists this ribosomal RNA (497 nucleotides) under uncultured bacterium. RNAcentral describes it as "partial 16S ribosomal RNA". It matches the Rfam family "Bacterial small subunit ribosomal RNA", at positions 28 to 507 of the family's 1533-position model. The record is from RNAcentral.